UCUGAGGGAGAAGAUCAGCAGUUUGCUCAGAGCCAUGACCCAGCCGAUCCCAGCCAGCACGGAGCCGCCGGCACUGCCAGGGCACACGGCAGCAGCCUUUGGAGUGGCAGACAUCACCGUCCUGGUUCUGUACUUUGUCUUCGUCCUCGCCGUCGGGAUAUGGUCAUCGAUACGAGCAAGCCGGGGGACCAUUGGAGGCUAUUUCCUAGCUGGACGAUCCAUGACUUGGUGGCCUAUUGGGGCAUCCCUGAUGUCAAGCAACGUGGGCAGUGGUUUAUUCAUCGGCCUGGCAGGCACUGGAGCAGCUGGGGGCCUUGCUGUUGGGGCCUUUGAGUGGAACGCCACCUGGGCACUUCUGGCCCUCGGCUGGAUCUUUGUGCCUGUUUACAUCGCAGCAGGAGUAGUCACCAUGCCCGAGUACCUGCAGAAGAGAUUUGGAGGGCAGAGGAUACAAAUCUACAUGUCCAUACUGUCCCUGAUUCUCUACAUAUUCACCAAGAUAUCCACAGACAUUUUUUCUGGAGCAUUGUUCAUCCAAAUCUCUUUGGGCUGGAACCUCUACUUGUCCACUGUGGUCUUGCUAGCAGUGACUGCUGUCUACACCAUAGCUGGUGGUUUAACAGCUGUGAUUUACACGGACGUGCUGCAGACCGUGAUCAUGGUGCUGGGAGCUUUGGUCCUCAUGUUCAUAGGAUUUGAGAAAGUUGGCUGGUAUGAAGGACUUCAGGAGAAAUACAGCACAGCAAUACCAAAGAUCACAGUCCCAAACACGACCUGUCACCUCCCACGUGCAGAUGCCUUUCAUUUGUUCAGGGAUCCCAUCACAGGAGACAUUCCUUGGCCAGGCCUUAUAUUUGGUCUCUCUGUGCUGGCUCUUUGGUGCUGGUGCACUGACCAGGUGAUAGUCCAGAGGUCUCUCUCUGCCAAGAACCUUUCCCAUGCCAAAGGUGGAUCGGUGUUGGGAGGAUAUCUGAAAAUCUUCCCUAUGUUCUUCCUUGUCAUGCCAGGAAUGAUCAGCAGAGCUCUUUACCCAGAUGAAGUGGGCUGCGUGGACCCAGACAUCUGUAAAAGGGUUUGUGGAGCUGCAGUGGGUUGUUCCAACAUUGCCUACCCCAAACUGGUGAUUGAACUCAUGCCUGAUGGGCUCCGAGGUUUGAUGAUUGCAGUGAUGAUGGCAGCCUUGAUGAGUUCCCUCACCUCCAUUUUCAACAGCAGCAGCACUCUCUUCGUUAUAGACAUCUGGCAGCGGAUCCGCAGACAGGCUUCAGAGCAGGAGCUGAUGAUUGUGGGCAGAGUGUUUAUCCUCAUUCUUGUGGUCAUCAGUAUUCUCUGGAUCCCAAUCAUUCAAUCAGCCAACAGUGGAAAGCUCUUUGACUACAUUCAGUCCAUAACCAGCUAUCUGGCCCCACCCAUCACAGCUCUCUUCAUCCUGGCAAUCUUCUGCAAGAGGAUUAAUGAGCCUGGUGCUUUCUGGGGCCUCAUGGUUGGGCUGGCUGUUGGUCUGGUUCGGAUGAUCAUCGAGUUUAUUUAUAGCACACCGUCCUGUGGUGAGGAGGACAGAAGACCAGCUGUGCUAAAGGACUUGCACUACCUCUACUUUGCCCUCAUCCUCUGUGUCCUCUCUGCGAUUGUCAUCGUCCUUAUUAGUGUCUGCACCCCACCGAUCCCUGAAGAAAAGCUCUCAUGCCUGACCUGGUGGACCAGACACAGAAAAGCACCUGCCAUUGACCUGAAAAACUGCAAGAGUGAGGCAGCACAGAUCAAUUCAGCCAAUGGAGAGAGCGACUUGGUCGACAGUGCAGAGUCAGGCAACAAGGAGGAGACAGCAGCCAAGCCUCCCUGCUGGAAAAUGUUGUAUUUGUGGUUCUGUGGUCUGUCCACCAGCCCCACGCCCACCCUGUCCCAGGAGGAGAGAGCUGCCCUGGAGCAGAGACUCACCAGCAUUGAGGAAAAGCCCCUGUGGAAGACUGUUUGCAAUGCCAAUGCUGUUCUCCUGCUGGCCAUUAAUGUCUUCCUGUGGGCAUAUUUUGGCUGAGGUGGGGUCAGGAAACAUGUGGCUUUGGUUUCUCUCACCUCCCUGUCUAAGCUGGAAGCAUCAGAUGACAGAGUCCCUGGUGAUGGUCCCUGGAGGCACCCACUGGCACUCUUUGCCUUCCCUGGAGGCACUGCUUGGUGGGAAUGACUGCGGGGCUCAGUUUUCCCAUAGGGUGAGACAAAGACUCAACAUCAGUCACGUCUGGGAUGUGGGCCAAGUCUGGAGGUCUGGGGUCAAGUUGAAAGGUGCAAAGUCAAGCCCAGCAAGGAGCAAAGGCUUUGGAAAGCCCAGCUAUGGCUGGGUUCUCUCUCAGGGCUGACUUUGCACCGAUGCAUUUAGGGGAAGGACUUCUGGUUUACCCUGGUGUGCAGAAGGAGACUUAAACACACUCUGCAGCUUUUUUAUAUGGGUAAAAUUCAAAUAGGGUCAGUGGGGACCACUGGAUUAGCUCAGCAGUGUCAACCUUGGCUCCCCAGCCACCCCAGGAUCUGUGUUGGACCCCUUCCACCCCACCCCUCCUGCCUUGCUGGCAUCAGCAGUGGGAACAGGGAGCUUCUUCCUGCUUCCCGAGCCCCCUAUCCUCCCCACUCUGCUGUGUGACAGUGGGUCUCACAACAGCCCCAGCCUGUUUGCUCAUCAGGCUGAUGCUGCCCCUUGACAGCAUUACCAGCAAUAAAGGUGCCUUAGUAACCAAGCCAAUCCUGACUUUGGGUUAUUGUGGUGAUCUGUCCUGCACUGACACACAAAGGGCUCCCUGGGACCGCGGUGACCCGGCUGUCUCAGGGAAAAGAAAUAUCCUUCCCUGGGACCUGAUCCAGGGCCUCGCUUUCUUGAGCAAGUCCAGGCUUCUGUGACCCAUCCUGGUGCCACACGUGGCAUGUGGCACAGCCAUAAUCUUUUAAACCAUGGAGAGACAGCAAUAACCCCUGUUAAUAUCUGUGCCUGGUAGUUAGGGUGCUCACCUGGAGAAGGCUAAAAAUGCCCACAGGCAUGUGAUCCUGCAAUCCAGCAUCCGAGGGACACAUCCAGGUCACCAGGCAUGGGCUGUGCAGGGAGGAGAAAAUGAGUCAUGAUUCAUCAAGGAGAGAAGAAAGAAGGCUCUGUUUCCACCUGGCUCAGGAAGCCCAGGUCAUGGUUCCACGGCUUGUCCUCAGUUUGGAUGGAGGAGACUGAACUGGCCAUGCAGGAUGAGGUCUGUGCUGGCUUUAUGCAGAUGAAGUUUCCUUUAAAAUGCUGAUGUCUAUGUCAGUUAAAGUAAUGUUGCCUGAGAGCUGUGACUGCAUCUCUGAGCUUGGCCCUGAGAAGGAAUGGAGACAUCCGCACUGCCAGAUGCAGCCAGCUGUGCACCCCACAGGAGGAACACAUUUCAUUGAGCCGGGGCUUCGGCGAUGGCGGGCUCAUCCGACGGCGGAUGCGGCGUCGGCAUUGGGAUCCCAGUGAGGCUUUCCUGGGGAGCAGGCUGUCAUCGCCCCGGGAGCACCGAGCAGCUCC
RNA transcript from Neopelma chrysocephalum (saffron-crested tyrant-manakin), 3526 nucleotides. It is a transcript of the gene named solute carrier family 5 member 9, with no coding region annotated. NCBI's taxonomy places the organism in Eukaryota, Metazoa, Chordata, Aves, Passeriformes, Pipridae. The transcript has 16 exons. The record is from RefSeq and is a predicted model, not a curated record.